RNAcentral lists this long non-coding RNA (356 nucleotides) under Aquila chrysaetos chrysaetos. RNAcentral describes it as "lncRNA (ENSACCG00020009373.1)". Lineage: Eukaryota; Metazoa; Chordata; Aves; Accipitriformes; Accipitridae. The record is from RNAcentral.
AGACUGUCAGCAAUUUAUCUGUCCCCUCCAAUUUGUUCCCCAAAGCCACAUCAUACCUUAGCACCUUCUUUUCCUGCAGCACCUGGGAGGCCUUGUUCACCUGGUGGACCAGGAGGACCUGGAUGACCUCUUUCACCAAUUGGGCCUGUCUCACCAGUAGGACCCUGAGCACAAAAAUAAAACUUCAGUCAUCUCAAGAGAACUCUGCCGCCUUGACUUCUGUAAACCACCAACUUCAUAAUCACAUGAGGAAAGCACACAAAAAAGGAAGUGGAAAGUUCCAAUCUCUCCGAGGUGGUACAGCAGUAAAAAUUCCGGUAAAUUUUACAGAUUUCUCUAGGUGAACUUGAUUAGGU